This 56-nucleotide ribosomal RNA is filed under the name Tomato big bud phytoplasma. RNAcentral describes it as "partial 23S ribosomal RNA". The record is from RNAcentral. Lineage: Bacteria; Bacillati; Mycoplasmatota; Mollicutes; Acholeplasmatales; Acholeplasmataceae.
UAAAGGAAAUAAGUGCGCACAGAGGAUGCCUAGGCACCAAGAGCCGAUGAAGGACG